GGUCAAGUAUUUAAGGGCGUACGAAGGAUGCCUUGGCACUACCAGGCGAUGAAGGACGUGGUUACCUGCGAUAAGUCCCGGUGAGCUGGAAGCAAGCUUUGAACCGGGAAUCUCCGAAUGAGAAAACUCCACACGGCAAAACCGUGUGAUCCUAGCAAUAGGAAGCUAAACCCAGGGAAUUGAAACAUCUUAGUACCUGGAGGAAAAGAAAGUAAAAACGAUUUCGUUAGUAGCGGCGAGCGAACGCGAAACAGCCUAAACCGAAGUUAUGUCAAGCUUGAGGGCGUUGUGACAUCGGUGUUGUAGGGCUGGCAUGGGUUCACCUCAAUGGACCUGCAAAGUUACCAAAUUACCAUGUAGAAGAAGUGUUUGGGAAAACACGCCACAGCGGGUGAUAGCCCCGUAUUUUAAACAUGUGUAGUCUUUGAGCCAGUUCCUGAGUACCACGGAGUACGUGAAGUUCCGUGGGAAUCCGCGAAGACCAUUUCGCAAGGCUAAAUACUAGGUAGUGACCGAUAGUGAACAAGUACUGUGAAGGAAAGGUGAAAAGCACCGCGGGAGCGGAGUGAAAUAGAACCUGAAAUCGUACGCUUACAAGGUAUGGAAGCCCGCAAGGGUGACCGUGUGCCUUUUGUAGCAUGAGCCUGCGAGUUACUGUAUGCAGCAAGGUUAAGGAAUUAAGUUCCGGAGCCGAAGCGAAAGCGAGUCUGAAUAGGGCGUUUUGAGUUGCAUGCUUUAGACCCGAAGUUGAGUGAUCUAGCCUUGGUCAGGAUGAAGUGGCGGUAACACGCCAUGGAGGUCCGAACUCGUGAAUGUUGAAAAAUUCUGAGAUGAACUGAGGCUGGGGGUGAAAGGCCAAUCAAACUCAGCGAUAGCUGGUUCUCCUCGAAAUGUAUUUAGGUACAGGGUUCGAUGUUUAAUUAUGGGGGUAGAGCGCUGUUUGGGCUAGGGGCCUUACCCGGUUACCAAACCCAGGCAAACUACGAAUACCAUAAUUUUAGAGUCGAGCACUGAGUCAGUGGGUGAUAACGUUCAUUGGCGAGAGGGAAACAACCCGGAUCGACAGCUAAGGUUCCUAAAUCUAUGCUAAGUGAUAAAGGAUGUCUGGUCGCACAGACAAUUAGGAGGUUGGCUUAGAAGCAGCCACCCUUUAAAGAGUGCGUAAUAGCUCACUAAUCGAGCGAUUGGGCGCCGAAAAUGUACGGAUCUAAGUGUAGUACCGAAGCUUCGGGCGGGGCGAAUCGAGAGAUUCGCCUUGCGGUAGAGGAGCGUUCCUACAGCGGCGAAGGUAUAGCGAGAGCAGUGCUGGAGCGGUAGGAAGUGAGAAUGCAGGCAUGAGUAGCGAAAAUGACGGUUAAAUUCCGUCACAUCGUAAGCCCAAGGGUUCCGCAGCAAGGUAACUCCGCUGCGGGUUAGCCGGUUCCUAAGGUGAGGCCGACAGGCGUAACCGACGGUAACCUGGUUUAUAUUCCAGGGCUUAGUUCAAGGCGCGAUGGGGUGACGCAAGAAGAUAGGGAAGCAGCCUAAUGGAUGGCUGUAUAAGGUCGUAGGCGUUGAGAUGGUCAGGCAAAUCCGGCCGUUGAGCUGAAAGCUGAUAUGGAGUGGGCCUUCGGGUUUCACGAAGUUUCUGAUUCUAUGCUGCCAAGAAAAACCUCUAAGUUUACUUGAACUAAACCGUACCCGAAACCGACACAGGUGGGCGAGGAGAGAAUCCUCAGAUGCGCGAGAGAAACCUCGUUAAGGAACUCGGCAAAAUGACCCCGUAACUUCGGGAGAAGGGGUGCCUCAUUAUCGUGCAAGCGAGAAGAGGCUGCAAUAAAGAGUCCGCGGCGACUGUUUACCAAAAACACAGGUCUCUGCAAACACGUAAGUGGAUGUAUAGGGGCUGAUACCUGCCCGGUGCUGGAAGGUUAACAGGAGAUGUUAGGAGUAAUCCGAAGCAUUGAAUCGAAGCCCCAGUAAACGGCGGCCGUAACUAUGACGGUCCUAAGGUAGCGAAAUUCCUUGUCGGGUAAAUUCCGACCUGCACGAAUGGUGUAACGACUGUGGAACUGUCUCAACGAGGAUCUCGGCGAAAUUGUAGUGGCAGUGAAGAUGCUGCCUACCCGCAGUGGGACAGAAAGACCCCGUGAACCUUUACUGUAACUUGGCAUUGGUUUUCGGUUUUGUAUGUGUAGGAUAGGUGGGAGACCCUGAAGUUGCGGCGCCAGCCGUGAUGGAGUCGUCCUUGAAAUACCACCCUUACGAAAUUGAAAACCUAACCUGGCGUUACUUUUAUAUUUGAGUCUUGCGCAAGCAAGAUUAAGAUGAAAAUAAUACUAGAGCCUUGAGUAAAAGGGAUUCACACAGAUCAGAGAUGCUUAGUUGCGUUGAAAAUCGGUGUAAAUCACACAAUCUUCUGUUCUAAAUUUUUAGGAUAAGAGUUAACGAGUAUAUUUAUUCAAGGCUCCAGAUUCGCCUUACCUAGCGGUAAGGUUAUCAAACAUAAAAGCAACGCCAGGGACAAUGUCAGGCGGGCAGUUUGACUGGGGCGGUCGCCUCCCAAAGAGUAACGGAGGCGCCCUAAGGUUCCCUCAGCACGGUUGGAAAUCGUGCGAAGAGUGUAAAGGCAUAAGGGAGCUUGACUGUAAGACUUACAAGUCGAGCAGGGACGAAAGUCGGGCUUAGUGAUCCGGUGGUUUCCGCAUGGAAGGGCCAUCGCUCAACGGAUAAAAGGUACUCCGGGGAUAACAGGCUUAUCGCGUCCAAGAGUCCAUAUCGACGACGCGGUUUGGCACCUCGAUGUCGGCUCGUCGCAUCCUGGGGCUGGAGCAGGUCCCAAGGGUUUGGCUGUUCGCCAAUUAAAGCGGCACGCGAGCUGGGUUCAGAACGUCGUGAGACAGUUCGGUCCGUAUCCACUGUGGGCGUUGGAAAUUUGAGAGGACUUGUCCCUAGUACGAGAGGACCGGGAUGAACGAACCUCUGGUGUACCGGUUGUGGCGCCAGCUGCAACGCCGGGUAGCUAUGUUCGGAAGGGAUAACCGCUGAAAGCAUCUAAGCGGGAAGCCUGCCUCAAGAUAAGAUUUCCCUGGUGGGGUUCGCCCCAUCCUAAAGACCCCUGGCCAACUACCAGGUUGAUAGGCUAUAGGUAUAAACAGUGUAAGCUGUGAGCCAAGUAGUACUAAUCGGUCGUGAGGCUUGACCAU
Molecule: ribosomal RNA, 3185 nt
Filed under: Nitrospira sp.
Lineage: Bacteria; Pseudomonadati; Nitrospirota; Nitrospiria; Nitrospirales; Nitrospiraceae
Description: 23S ribosomal RNA
Rfam family: Bacterial large subunit ribosomal RNA
Source: RNAcentral